GCGAGGGUGCCCAAGUGGCUAAGGGGCGCGGCUGCAACCCGCGUAUUCAUGGGUUCGAAUCCCAUCCCUCGCU
RNAcentral lists this transfer RNA (73 nucleotides) under Candidatus Woesearchaeota archaeon. RNAcentral describes it as "tRNA-Cys". It matches the Rfam family "tRNA". From Rfam's summary of the family: Transfer RNA (tRNA) molecules are approximately 80 nucleotides in length. Their secondary structure includes four short double-helical elements and three loops (D, anti-codon, and T loops). The record is from RNAcentral. Lineage: Archaea; Nanobdellati; Candidatus Woesearchaeota.